This 133-nucleotide non-coding RNA is filed under the name uncultured Amylibacter sp. Its description in RNAcentral is "FMN riboswitch (RFN element)". It matches the Rfam family "FMN riboswitch aptamer (RFN element)". Rfam says of the family: The RFN element is a highly conserved domain that is found frequently in the 5'-untranslated regions of prokaryotic mRNAs that encode for flavin mononucleotide (FMN) biosynthesis and transport proteins. This element is a metabolite-dependent riboswitch that directly binds FMN in the absence of proteins. In Bacillus subtilis, the riboswitch most likely controls gene expression by causing premature transcription termination within the 5' untranslated region of the ribDEAHT operon and precluding access to the ribosome-binding site of ypaA mRNA. The record is from RNAcentral. Lineage: Bacteria; Pseudomonadati; Pseudomonadota; Alphaproteobacteria; Rhodobacterales; Paracoccaceae.
CAUUCUCAGGGCGGGGUGUAAUUCCCCACCGGCGGUGAUAGCCCGCGAGCGCUUUGGUUUUUUUAAAACCUUGGGUCAGCAGACACCCGUGAAAUUCGGGGGCCGACAGUUAUAGUCUGGAUGGUAGAGAAUG